Molecule: ribosomal RNA, 253 nt
Filed under: uncultured bacterium
Lineage: Bacteria
Also listed under: 1 other name
Description: partial 16S ribosomal RNA
Rfam family: Bacterial small subunit ribosomal RNA
Source: RNAcentral
UACGAGAGGCCCAAACGUUAUUCGGAAUUACUGGGCUUAAAGAGUUCGUAGGCGGCGCAGAAAGUAGGGUGUGAAAGCCCUCGGCUUAACCGAGGAAUUGCGCUCUAAACUACUGUGCUUGAGGAACCUAGAGGUGAGCAGAACUGAUGGUGGAGCGGUGAAAUGCGUUGAUAUCAUCAGGAAUACCGGAGGCGAAGGCGGCUCACUGGGGGUUUUCUGACGCUGAGGAACGAAAGCCAGGGGAGCGAACGGG